RNAcentral lists this ribosomal RNA (460 nucleotides) under uncultured bacterium. Its description in RNAcentral is "partial 16S ribosomal RNA". It matches the Rfam family "Bacterial small subunit ribosomal RNA", at positions 338 to 795 of the family's 1533-position model. The record is from RNAcentral.
CCUACGGGUGGCAGCAGUGAGGAAUAUUGGUCAAUGGACGAGAGUCUGAACCAGCCAAGUAGCGUGAAGGAUGACUGCCCUAUGGGUUGUAAACUUCUUUUAUAUGGGAAUAAAACGUUCCACGUGUGGGAUUUUGUAUGUACCCUCUGAAUAAGGAUCGGCUAACUCCGUGCCAGCAGCCGCGGUAAUACGGAGGAUCCGAGCGUUAUCCGGAUUUAUUGGGUUUAAAGGGAGCGUAGGUGGAUUGUUAAGUCAGUUGUGAAAGUUUGCGGCUCAACCGUAAAAUUGCAGUUGAAACUGGCAGUCUUGAGUACAGUAGAGGUGGGCGGAAUUCGUGGUGUAGCGGUGAAAUGCUUAGAUAUCACGAAGAACUCCGAUUGCGAAGGCAGUUCACUGGACUGCAACUGACACUGAGGCUCGAAAGUGUGGGUAUCAAACAGGAUUAGAUACCCUAGUAGUC